Molecule: ribosomal RNA, 468 nt
Filed under: uncultured bacterium
Lineage: Bacteria
Description: partial 16S ribosomal RNA
Rfam family: Bacterial small subunit ribosomal RNA
Source: RNAcentral
GACGAACGCUGGCGGCGUGCUUAACACAUGCCAGUCGAACGGAAAGGCCCUGCUUUUGUGGGGUGCUCGAGUGGCGAACGGGUGAGUAACACGUGAGUAACCUGCCCUUGACUUUGGGAUAACUUCAGGAAACUGGGGCUAAUACCGGAUAGGAGCUCCUGCUGCAUGGUGGGGGGUGGAAAGUUUCGGCGGUUGGGGAUGGACUCGCGGCUUAUCAGCUUGUUGGUGGGGUAGUGGCUUACCAAGGCUUUGACGGGUAGCCGGCCUGGGAGGGUGACCGGCCACAUUGGGACUGAGAUACGGCCCAGACGCCUACGGGAGGCAGCAGUGGGGAAUAUUGCACAAUGGGCGGAAGCCUGAUGCAGCAACGCCGCGUGCGGGAUGACGGCCUUCGGGUUGUAAACCGCUUUCGCCUGUGACGAAGCGUGAGUGACGGUAAUGGGUAAAGAAGCACCGGCUAACUACGUG